Molecule: long non-coding RNA, 401 nt
Organism: Vespa mandarinia (Asian giant hornet)
Lineage: Eukaryota; Metazoa; Arthropoda; Insecta; Hymenoptera; Vespidae
Source: RefSeq, a predicted model, not a curated record
AAGUGGUUGGACUAGAUGACACCAGCGAGAAUCGAUAUUGGCGAAAAAUUAAAGGGAGCAUUUCCGAAUGAUUGCAGUAAAGUUAUCAAGGACGCUAAACAAUGGGCACAAGAGGUCAAAAAAUUGCGAGGAAACGUGGUAAAAAUUGGGUGAAUAAGUAUUGACACUGGAAAGAUUAGGAACGAUAUAGAAUCAACAUCUCGCCAUUAUUGGGAACAUUUGUAUUCGAAUUUGCGCGUCGAGGCUCCCUCAAGAUUAAUAGCAGUCAUUAAUUUUCAUUCCUUUGCUGCAAAGGAUUUAGAAAGGAAGUCACAUAACGUUGAAGAAGUUGGAUUUGCCAAUGAAAUUCAUAAACGGAUUCAAAACUAAUAUGCUGGGAUUGGUAACAAAAUGAAAGCUGU